This 77-nucleotide transfer RNA is filed under the name candidate division WWE3 bacterium CG08_land_8_20_14_0_20_40_13. RNAcentral's name for it is "tRNA-Ile". It matches the Rfam family "tRNA". From Rfam's summary of the family: Transfer RNA (tRNA) molecules are approximately 80 nucleotides in length. Their secondary structure includes four short double-helical elements and three loops (D, anti-codon, and T loops). Lineage: Bacteria; candidate division WWE3. The record is from RNAcentral.
GGGCUCGUAGCUCAGCUGGUUAGAGCGCUUAUCUGAUAAGUAAGAGGUCGAAGGUUCGAGUCCUUCCGAGCCCACCA